RNAcentral lists this ribosomal RNA (791 nucleotides) under uncultured archaeon. RNAcentral's name for it is "bacterial SSU rRNA". It matches the Rfam family "Archaeal small subunit ribosomal RNA", at positions 85 to 879 of the family's 1478-position model. The record is from RNAcentral.
ACGGCUCAGUAACACGUGGAUAACAUGCCCUAAGGUGGGGGAUAAUCUCGGGAAACUGAGGAUAAUACCCCAUAGGUCUGAUCUGCUGGAAUGCUUUCAGGCCGAAAACUCCGGUGCCUUAGGAUUGGUCUGCGGUCUAUCAGGCUGUAGUGGGUGUAAUGGACCCACUAGCCCGUGACGGAUAUGGGCCUUGAGAGAGGGAGCCCAGAGAUGGACUCUGAGACAUGAGUCCAGGCCCUACGGGGCGCAGCAGUCGCGAAAACUUCGCAAUGGGGGCAACCCCGACGAGGGAAUUCCAAGUGCCAGCACUUUGUGUUGGCUGUUCUCCUGUCUAAAAAACAGGAGGAGUAAGGGGCGGGUAAGACGGGUGCCAGCCGCCGCGGUAAUACCCGCGCCCCUAGUGGUGGUCGAUAUUAUUGAGCCUAAAACGUCCGUAGCCGGUCUUCUAAAUCCUUGGGUAAAUCGGGCAGCUUAACUGUCCGAAGUCCGGGGAGACUGGGAGACUUGGGACCGGGAGAGGUCAGAGGUACUUCUGGGGUAGGGGUAAAAUCCUGUAAUCCUGGAAGGACCACCGGUGGCGAAGGCGUCUGACUAGAACGGAUCCGACGGUGAGGGACGAAGCCCUGGGGCGCAAACGGGAUUAGAUACCCCGGUAGUCCAGGGUGUAAACGCUGCGGGCUUGGUGUUGGGGGUCCUUAGUGGGCGCCCAGUGCCGGAGAGAAGUUGUUAAGCCUGCUGCUUGGGGAGUAUGUCCGCAAGGAUGAAACUUAAAGGAAUUGGCGGGGGAGCAC